CAGUAGCCGCGGUAAUACGGAGGGCGCGAGCGUUACCCGGAUUUACUGGGCGUAAAGGGCGUGUAGGCGGCCUGGGGCGUCCCAUGUGAAAGGCCACGGCUCAACCGUGGAGGAGCGUGGGAUACGCUCAGGCUAGAGGGUGGGAGAGGGUGGUGGAAUUCCCGGAGUAGCGGUGAAAUGCGCAGAUACCGGGAGGAACGCCGAUGGCGAAUGCAGCCACCUGGUCCACUUCUGACGCUGAGUCGCGAAAGCGUGGGGAGCAAACCGGAUUAGAUACCCGCGUAGUCCCUGUCUCUUAUAC
This 301-nucleotide ribosomal RNA is filed under the name uncultured bacterium. RNAcentral describes it as "partial 16S ribosomal RNA". It matches the Rfam family "Bacterial small subunit ribosomal RNA", at positions 509 to 807 of the family's 1533-position model. The record is from RNAcentral.